This 493-nucleotide ribosomal RNA is filed under the name uncultured bacterium. RNAcentral's name for it is "bacterial SSU rRNA". It matches the Rfam family "Bacterial small subunit ribosomal RNA", at positions 30 to 521 of the family's 1533-position model. The record is from RNAcentral.
AUUGAACGCUGGCGGAAUGCUUUACACAUGCAAGUCGAACGGUAGAGGGGGCAACCCCUUGAGAGUGGCGAACGGGUGAGUAAUAUAUCGGAACGUGCCCAGUCGUGGGGAUAACGUAGCGAAAGUUACGCUAAUACCGCAUACGAUCUAAGGAUGAAAGCGGGGGAUCGCAAGACCUCGCGCGAUUGGAGCGGCCGAUAUCAGAUUAGGUAGUUGGUGAGGUAAAGGCUCACCAAGCCAACGAUCUGUAGCUGGUCUGAGAGGACAACCAGCCACACUGGAACUGAGACACGGUCCAGACUCCUACGGGAGGCAGCAGUGGGGAAUUUUGGACAAUGGACGCAAGUCUGAUCCAGCCAUUCCGCGUGCAGGAUGAAGGCCCUCGGGUUGUAAACUGCUUUUGUACGGAACGAAAGGGUUUCUAUUAAUACUAGGAGCUCAUGACGGUACCGUAAGAAUAAGCACCGGCUAACUACGUGCCAGCAGCCGCGGU